UCCUGCUUGGGUCGUCUUAGAACCACAAUCCUCAGAUCUAAGCCUCCUGAGUAACUAGAAUUAUAGGCAUGAGCCAUCAGCGCCUGGUCUAACAUCCUCUUAAAAAGUAGUCUCCUAGUGACCUCACUUCCUUCCAUUAGCCCCACCUCCUACACGUCCCACCAUUCCCAAUAGUGCCACAAGUUGGGGGGACCAAGCCUUCAACUUCUAAGCCUUUGAAAGAAUUUUAAAAUCCAAGUUAUAGCACACAUAUUCCAUUCCAAGAAAUAAACCUUUUCUUUCAAACUACUACUACUGUUUAAACUUUUACCUUAUAGCCACCUCAAAUCCUUUUUAUUUUUCCCUGGCCCUCUUAGACUACCCUAGUGUUCCCUCACAUCUACUACCUCACUUGCCACCAAUGCAUAUAGAAUAACUUAAUGGAAAAAAAACAUCACAUACCCUCACUCUGCCAAGUUUCCCUAAUAGUCUUUUCUUAUAGACACCAUAAAGGCACAUCAACUUUGCUACU
Long non-coding RNA from Perognathus longimembris pacificus (Pacific pocket mouse), 511 nucleotides. RefSeq lists it as uncharacterized. The transcript is spliced from 2 exons. The record is from RefSeq and is a predicted model, not a curated record. NCBI's taxonomy places the organism in Eukaryota, Metazoa, Chordata, Mammalia, Rodentia, Heteromyidae.